RNAcentral lists this ribosomal RNA (253 nucleotides) under uncultured prokaryote. Its description in RNAcentral is "partial 16S ribosomal RNA". It matches the Rfam family "Bacterial small subunit ribosomal RNA", at positions 524 to 776 of the family's 1533-position model. The record is from RNAcentral.
UACAGAGGGUGCGAGCGUUGUUCGGAAUUAUUGGGCGUAAAGGGCGCGUAGGCGGCGCCACAAGUCACUUGUGAAAACUCUGGGCUCAACUCAGAGCCUGCAAGCGAAACUGUGGUGCUGGAGUAUGGGAGAGGUGCGUGGAAUUCCCGGUGUAGCGGUGAAAUGCGUAGAUAUGUGGAGGAAUACCGAUGGCGAAGGCAGCCCCCUGGGUCAAGACUGACGCUCAUGCACGAAAGCGUGGGGAGCAAAAGGG